This 497-nucleotide ribosomal RNA is filed under the name uncultured bacterium. Its description in RNAcentral is "partial 16S ribosomal RNA". It matches the Rfam family "Bacterial small subunit ribosomal RNA", at positions 28 to 507 of the family's 1533-position model. The record is from RNAcentral.
GAUGAACGCUGGCGGCGUGCCUAAUACAUGCAAGUCGAGCGAACAGAUGAGGAGCUUGCUCCUCUGACGUUAGCGGCGGACGGGUGAGUAACACGUGGAUAACCUACCUAUAAGACUGCGAUAACUUCGGGAAACCGGAGCUAAUACCGGAUAAUAUAUUGAACCGCAUGGUUCAAUAGUGAAAGACGGUUUUGCUGUCACUUAUAGAUGGAUCCGCGCCGCAUUAGCUAGUUGGUAAGGUAACGGCUUACUAAGGCAACGAUGCGUAGCCGACCUGAGAGGGUGAUCGGCCACACUGGAACUGAGACACGGUCCAGACUCCUACGGGAGGCAGCAGUAGGGAAUCUUCCGCAAUGGGCGAAAGCUUGACGGAGCAACGCCGCGUGAGUGAUGAAGGUCUUCGGAUCGUAAAACUCUGUUAUUAGGGAAGAACAAAUGUGUAAGUAACUAUGCACGUCUUGACGGUACCUAAUCAGAAAGCCACGGCUAACUACGUG